CUUGAACCAAGUUUAUUCACCCAAUGGGUCAGACAGCUGACAGCUGAACAGACAAAGACAUGUUCCCACCAGCACAAGUAUAUAUACCCCACUUUAGGUGUGGUAUAUAUAAGCAGGAAGUUAACUGAUGUGAACUGUUCCUUCUCAAUGUGACCCGGACCUAACCUCGGGCCCCAUUCCUCACUACUUAUCAGUGACAUAAACCAUGUGAUUGCCUUUCCUUUACUCAGUACAUUCCCCUGGCUCAUAUCCAACCUGAAUUGACCUCACGAUAUUCAAACGUCCUACAGAUAUCCAUUAACUUCUGGUGUAGAAACCAGACUGUGGUCCUUCUCCUUUCCAUAGGAUACCUGCUGUCUAACAAGAACAUGUUCUGACAGAAUGUAAACGUUCUGCAUUCCCCUCUCUCUCUCUCUCCGUAGCAUUGAUCAAGGAUAUUUCACACUUCAAGUUCAGAAGUCUGAAGCCAUCAAUCUAAUCAAAGGGGAAGAAGGAAAAGAUGCUGCCCUGCGUCCAUACUGAUACUCUAGCAGGACGUGAGAAGAUAGCUAACGAGAAGUUCUCAUUGAGUCUUUUCUAACAGGGCCAAAUACCAGAAUGUGACAAUCACACAGCUCUGUGUUCUGGCUAGGCUAGGGGCCUCUGGGGAGUCUCUCUCUCUCUCUCUCUCUGGUGCUGCAGACUCCUGGUCCACAUUCCAAAUGGAACCCUAUUUCCUAUACAGAGCACUACUUUGAAACAGGGCCAACAGGGGCUCUGGUCAAAAGUAGGAGCACUACAUAGAGAAUAGUGUGCCAUUUGGGAUGCAAGCCCUGUCCUCUGUUACUCUCUCGCAGUAUGUAGAAGGUCUUAGGAAACCUGUGGACUGUUCCAUUCCAGUCUUUUACACAAGAGAGUUACUUAAUGAUGGGUUUCUCAUCAUCAAACACAAGUGUUCAUCUAGGAGACGAUGUGCAGGUUACAGUAUGUAAUGUAGCAGACGGAGGAUGUGCAGGUUACAGUAUGUAAUGUAGCAGACAUAGGAUGUGCAGGUACAGUAUGUAAUGUAGCAGACAGUUAGAUGAUGUGCAGGUACAGUAUGUAAUGUAGCAGACAGACAAUGUGCAGGUACAGUAUGUAAUGUAGCAGACAGACGAUGUGCAGGUACAGUAUGUAAUGUAGCAGACAGUUAGAGGAUGUGCAGGUACAGUAUGUAAUGUAGCAGACAGUUAGAGGAUGUGCAGGUACAGUAUGUAAUGUAGCAGACAGUUAGAGGAUGUGCAGGCACAGUAUGUAAUGUAGCAGACAGUUAGAGGAUGUGCAGGUACAGUAUGUAAUGUAGCAGACAGACGAUGUGCAGGUACAGUAUGUAAUGUAGCAUACAGACGAUGUGCAGGUUACAGUAUGUAAUGUAGCAGACAGUUAGACGAUGUGCAGGUACAGUAUGUAAUGUAGCAUACAGACGAUGUGCAGGUUACAGUAUGUAAUGUAGCAGACAAUUAGAGGAUGUGCAGGUACAGUAUGUAAUGUAGCAGACAGUUAGACGAUGUGCAGGUUACAGUAUGUAAUGUAGCAGACAGUUAGACGAUGUGCAGGUACAGUAUGUAAUGUAGCAGACAGACGAUGUGAAGGUUACAGUAUGUAAUGUAGCAGACAGACGAUGUGCAGGUACAGUAUGUAAUGUAGCAGACAGUUAGAGGAUGUGCAGGUACAGUAUGUAUUGUAGCAGACAGUUAGAGGAUGUGCAGAAAACAGUAUGUAUGUACAGUAUGUAAUGUAGCAGACAGUAAGAUGAUGUGCAGGUACAGUAUUUAAUGUAGCAGACAGAGGAUGUGCAGGUCCAGUAUGUAAUGUAGCAGACAGUUAGACGAUGUGCAGGUACAGUAUGUAAUGUAGCAGACAGUUAGAGGAUGUGCAGGUACAGUAUGUAAUGUAGCAGACAGAGGAUGUGCAGGUACAGUAUGUAAUGUAGCAGACAGUUAGAGGAUGUGCAGGUUACAGUAUGUAAUGUAGCAGACAGUUAGACGAUGUGCAGGUAAAGUAUGUAAUGUAGCAGACAGUUAGACGAUGUGCAGGUACAGUAUGUAAUGUAGCAGACAGAGGAUGUGCAGGUACAGUAUGUAAUGUAGCAGACAGAGGAUGUGCAGGUACAGUAUGUAAUGUAGCAGACAGUUAGAGGAUGUGCAGGUUACAGUAUGUAAUGUAGCAGACAGAGGAUGUGCAGGUACAGUAUGUAAUGUAGCAGACAGUUAGACGAUGUGCAGGUACAGUAUGUAAUGUAGCAGACAGUUAGAGGAUGUGCAGGUACAGUAUGUAAUGUAGCAGACAGACGAUGUGCAGGUACAGUAUGUAAUGUAGCAGACAGACGAUGUGCAGGCACAGUAUGUAAUGUAGCAGACAGAGGAUGUGCAGGUACAGUAUGUACUGUAGCAGACAGUUAGAGGAUGUGCAGGUUACAGUAUGUAAUGUAGCAGACAGAGGAUGUGCAGGUACAGUAUGUAAUGUAGCAGACAGACGAUGUGCAGGUACAGUAUGUAAUGUAGCAGACAGACGAUGUGCAGGCACAGUAUGUAAUGUAGCAGACAGAGGAUGUGCAGGUACAGUAUGUAAUGUAGCAGACAGACGAUGUGCAGGCACAGUAUGUAAUGUAGCAGACAGAGGAUGUGCAGGUACAGUAUGUACUGUAGCAGACAGUUAGAGGAUGUGCAGGUACAGUAUGUAAUGUAGCAGACAGUUAGAGGAUGUGCAGGUACAGUAUGUAAUGUAGCAGACAGUUCGAGGAUGUGCAGGUACAGUAUGUAAUGUAGCAGACAGACGAUGUGCAGGUUACAGUAUGUAAUGUAGCAGACAGUUCGAGGAUGUGCAGGUACAGUAUGUAAUGUAGCAGACAGAGGAUGUGCAGGUACAGUAUGUAAUGUAGCAGACAGAUGAUGUGCAGGUACAGUAUGUAAUGUAGCAGACAGAUGAUGUGCAGGUACAGUAUGUAAUGUAGCAGACAGUUAGAGGAUGUGCAGGUACAGUAUGUAAUGUAGCAGACUGUUACAACACAGCACUAUCUUUUGGAGUCACUUUCUUAUGAGGAUCCAGCACUCCACUUUUUUUUGGGGAAGAAUAAUCUGUGAGUGAGUAUCACGUUGUCUAUUAUCUAAGUUACAACACAGAAACAUGUGUGUCAUCGUGGGCCAAUAUGUUUCGGUACCUUUCCCCUUUAAACGUGGCUACCCUGCCGUAGUCCAUGAAGUCCGCCUCCCCGGUAUGAUAAACAAAUUCACCAUCGUUGCUUCCAUUUUUCUACAGAGUGGGAAAAUAAUGAAAAUCAUUUUAAAGUGUAUAUUUUAUUUUCUCAUAUUAUUAUUUUAUCACCGCACAGGACUUUAGGUGGCCACGGCAACCCCCAGCAGAUACAACAGGUUGCAGUGACCAUUGUAAAUCCAACGUCUCCUAGGCUACAGUACCCAAAUACUUAUUUACGGAACUUAGUGAGGAACUGAGUAGGU
RNAcentral lists this long non-coding RNA (3476 nucleotides) under Salmo salar (Atlantic salmon). RNAcentral's name for it is "lncRNA (ENSSSAG00000093299.1, ENSSSAG00000101646.1)". Lineage: Eukaryota; Metazoa; Chordata; Actinopteri; Salmoniformes; Salmonidae. The record is from RNAcentral.